UACAGAGGUCUCAAGCGUUGUUCGGAUUCAUUGGGCGUAAAGGGUGCGUAGGCGGCGGAGUAAGUUGGGUGUGAAAUCCCGGGGCUUAACCUCGGAAUUGCAUUCAAUACUGCUUCGCUUGAGUACUGGAGAGGAGGCUGGAAUUUACGGUGUAGCAGUGAAAUGCGUAGAUAUCGUAAGGAAGGCCGGUGGCGAAAGCGAGCCUCUGGACAGUUACUGACGCUGAUGCACGAAGGCCAGGGGAGCAAACGGG
Molecule: ribosomal RNA, 253 nt
Filed under: uncultured bacterium
Lineage: Bacteria
Description: partial 16S ribosomal RNA
Rfam family: Bacterial small subunit ribosomal RNA
Source: RNAcentral